ACGUACACUCCUACGGGAGGCAGCAGUGGGGAAUAUUGGACAAUGGGCGCAAGCCUGAUCCAGCCAUGCCGCGUGAGUGAUGAAGGCCCUAGGGUUGUAAAGCUCUUUCACCGGUGAAGAUAAUGACGGUAACCGGAGAAGAAGCCCCGGCUAACUUCGUGCCAGCAGCCGCGGUAAUACGAAGGUGGCUAGCGUUGUUCGGAUUUACUGGGCGUAAAGCGCACGUAGGCGGACUAUUAAGUCAGGGGUGAAAUCGCGGGGCUCAACCCCGGAACUGCCUUUGAUACUGGUAGUCUUGAGUUCGAGAGAGGUGAGUGGAAUUCCGAGUGUAGAGGUGAAAUUCGUAGAUAUUCGGAGGAACACCAGUGGCGAAGGCGGCUCACUGGCUCGAUACUGACGCUGAGGUGCGAAAGCGUGGGGAGCAAACAGGAUUAGAAACCCUAGUAGUCCCA
RNAcentral lists this ribosomal RNA (452 nucleotides) under uncultured organism. RNAcentral describes it as "partial 16S ribosomal RNA". It matches the Rfam family "Bacterial small subunit ribosomal RNA", at positions 329 to 797 of the family's 1533-position model. The record is from RNAcentral.